CAUUUCCAACCAACCCUCAAUGAAAAGCCAUUGCAAUUAUUUUUUAAAAACAAGAAAACGUGUUGUAUAUUCCCACCUUCCUCCCUACCUCUUUCACAAUAUAUAAUAAAAACACCAUAUUAUUCAUCUCAUUAUCGUUCCUUUUAAGUUUCCUUCUUACUUAUUUAAGUUCAAAACUAUUUCUUUUUAGGUUUUACUGAGAUGGGUUUUUUGAAUUUGAAGUGUUUGUUUCUGGGUUUUCUUCUAACGUUUGUUUCUUUUAGAAAAGGAGUUAUUAUAGUAGAAGGUAGCAGUAGGCCCUUUUCAAUUUCCCCAAUACUCGAGCUUCGGAAAGGUUUUGAGGGAUAUUAUGAUUCAAAGAUUUUUGCAACAAUGGGAAUUGAAUGUAAGUGUUGUGAUGAGAUUGGAGGUAAAUGCUCUACUGAGUUUACUUCUUCUUGCUCUAAUCUCCAUUGUUCCCCUUGGAAACAAUAUUAAUAUUAAAUCCAAUAAUCCCUCAGCUCUUUCCUUAAUUUCUAGCAAACAUCAUUAUUUUGAAUACAAGAGUAGUUUAAUUAAUUUGGUCAUGACUUUGGAUACUAUUUGGGUGUAUGAACGGUGUGGGAGUGCAUCCACUAAUUUACAACUCAUUCAAUCUCUCAUCAGAAAAAGCUCAAUAAUAUUUUUUAAAAAGAAAAAAAAAAAAAAAGAAAAAAGAAACGAAGAAAAGUUUGUGUUGUCAUGUUACCAAUUAUUAUAGUUGGACAACACUAAACUGGACUACUAAGUGUAGGUGAAGCUCAUGAUAUUUGUAAGUAUUUCUUGGUAUUAUAUAUAUCGCUAUAUAUAUCUUUGUUAACUUUAAUCAAUUAUACAAAUGAUCUAAAUUGGUUUAGGCAUAUAUAACUUUAACUAACCUUAACUUCUUGACACUAUAGAUAGAAGUUCAAAAUUUCAACUUUUUGUUUUUUUUUAAAAGUCAAGAGGGUAUAUUUAAUUUACUUGAACUAUAUGGUGGUUGGCAUAGAUGGACAAUUAUAGUAUUUGAAUGCCUUAAAAUUAGAUAUCUCACCUCAAAGGAUCAAGUAUAUAUAUGGGGUCUAGCUAGGAGGUGUUGUUACCGAAACCGUAUAAUUGUAUUUGUGUUAUUUUCUUUAUUUACGAUUUUGACUCUAAAGUUUAAUAAAAAAAGUUUUUGAAAGAAAGAAAGAAAGCCUCAAGCAAAGAUUUUGAAAAGAUAGGUGUUUUUUCAAUCUAUAAGUUCAUGAUUUGUUUCCCUAUUUGAAUGUCCUACUUUGGAAUGAGGUGGUAGAAAGAAAGGUGUUACGAUUGAUGCAAACCAAAAUAAGUGUAAUUAUGAUAUACCGAUCACGGUUAAGAAGUAAAAUAUUUUAUUAGGAUUAUUUUCUUUUUAGAUUAACAAUUUAGCUAAAAUGAAAUAUAUCUCGUAACUAAUAGAUAUUAAAAAUGAUUGUCUACGUACAAUUUGAUAAUCAAUAAUUCUAUGUUAAACGAAAGUGAUAUUGGCUUGACAGUAUUAACUUAAUUGACUUUUGUUUUUAGAAGUCAGAUAUUAAAUCUUUUAUCCCAUAGUUGAUAUUAUUAAAAGAAGUUAUUAGAAAAAUAGGUAUUGAAUACUUGGAUUGAACCAUUUUCUCUCCAUGUUCAAUAUGUCCUGCCUAUUUAGGAGAGUUACUUGUUCUAAUUAGGCAUAUUAGUUUAUUGUUGUUGUUGAAAAGUUUAUUUCUUAUCCAAAUAUUUGAAUGGGUAUUUUCAAAUUUUUUUUUCUUUUUCUUUUCAAAUUUGUCUUAGUAACACAACACAAGACUUGGGCUGGAAAAUGAAUAAGGGCUUUAGUGAUUCAAACCCAAUGACAUAAGUUGGGAUUUCAUAGGGCAAUAACCUUCACAUAUAUAAAUACUUUCAAGACAAUAAUAUCAUUAAAAUAAUUUCACAACAAUGAUUAGUAUUUUAUUAGGUAAUCGUUAUUGUUGAUAUGAUAGGGACAAAGUUUGUCUUUGUUAUGUUAUAUCCUAAAAAAUAUAUAAAAAAAAGUAUUAGGUGAAGUAAACUUUUGGGUUAUGAGGUAAGAAAAGGUGAGCAAAUCGAAGAAGGGAAGUGAUAAAAUUAAAUGAAUGAAGAAUAAUAAAAGAAAAAAAGUACACACUUCACCUAAUGGCCAAUUUCAACAAAUUUUCUUUUCAAAUCUCAUGAAAUCUCCAGAAAGGAAAAAUGUAGGAGACAUUAUGCAUUACUUGGAAAAAUAUUUACUAAAUAUAGUAAAAUUUUAAAUUAUUUUAGUUAGUGUUUGUAAUUAAUACAUUGAUAGAUAUAAAAAAAAAUCUAGAAUUUUGAUAUGUUUUUAAAUAUUAUAAUUCAUUUCCCUAUAUUCGAAAGUUUCCAAAAAAAAAAAAAAAGUAACAAAUCUAUUUUAUUUUCUAACAUUUUAAGAAAAUUUAAUUAUAAAUAUAUAUUCUCAUUUUGAAUUUAAAUUUAUACAGUAUUACCCAUUAAUAAUGAGUUUUAAAAAAAGGUCGAGUAAUAUAGGCUAAAAGUAAUACCAUGUGUACUAAUUAAAAAAUGAAAAGAAAAAAAAAAAGAAUCAGAGAUACCAUCUGAGCAAAAAAGAAAAUUAUUAUAUUUGUCAUAUAUUCUAUUUGAAUAAAUUAAAUUUCUAUUUUUUAAAUAUAGUAAAAUGAAUAUAUAUAUAUAUAUAUAUAUAUAUUUAUUUAUAUAUUUAUAAAAUAUCAAGAUGGACUACUAUUUGUGUCUAUCUAGACACAAAUAGUAGACAAAUAGAUUAUGAUAUUUCGUUAUGAUUAUAAAUAUUUUCAGAAGACUUUUUAUUUAAAAUAAUGUUCCUAAAUUAAACCUACAUGAGACUAUUUUUUCUUUUUUAUCAAUUAAAUUCCAUUUUUUAAUAUUUGUGAUUGUCCUGACUAGCUUGAUUCUACAACAUUUGUAUAUUAACAAAACUUGUAGAAUAUUAGAUAAAUCAUAGAUAGGUGGUAACCAUUUUAUUGAAUCUAUGAUAUUUCAAUCCUUUAUCAAGGUCAUGCCUUUCUAUUUACCAUUGGCCAAUCUACGACAGUUUUAGUCAAUUAAUCAAAUUAGGCUCUCAAUUGAUUCACUUACGAUAGUUUAGUAGUUUAACUGAAACAAGCAUAUGUUUUGUAUGAUGUUCUUGAACCAAGUAUAAAGAAGAGUGUGUUAAUCGAUGUACAUUUACGAUAUUCAAAGUUUAAAUCGAGGCCGUAAAUGAGAAGAAGGUAGAAAAGAAUAGAGGCAUGCAUUAUUAUUGCUCAUUUAUCUAUACAAUGAAAAAUAAAGUUUAUGGAACUUGUAUUAAUUAUAUAUAUUAUAUAUUCCAAUAUAAAUGAAAGAUAAAGAUGAUUUGAUGUUGUUCCUUGUGACCUUAUUGGCAUUCCAUGGAGAAGGGCCAUUUUAGUUUGAUCAAUGCUAGAAAAGGGCAUAUCCCAUCAAUUUCAUCGGCCAAAUAUAAGAAAUUGGGAUCCCCUUUGCCUUUUCUUUUAUGGAAAGCAUUCUGUAUAAAUGGAUAGAAAUUUAAGUUCCCCAUCCUAUUAAUUCUAUCACUUAAAAUGGACAAUAAUAAUUUUGUUGACUCAACAUAUCUUAAUUAUUCCAAUAUUCUAAAAUCUGGAAACAUCAUAAAUUGAUAAACAUUGUUAUUGUUAGAUAGUAUUCACACCCAACACACAUACUCUUAAACUUGGUAAACAUCAUAAAUUAAAUACUGCUUCGUAAGCUACAUUUUGGAUCUUCCCAUGUUGAUUUUUCUUUUCAGUAUAUCAAAUUCAAGAAUACAAUAUGUAUAUUGAAUCCACCACCCAAUAUUAAUUAUAUAUGAUUUAUUUAAUUAUUUCUGGAUUAUUUUAUUCUUUUUUCUCUAUAGAGAACAAAAUCAAUAUUAGAUCAUCUCAAUUUUUUACUUUAUAUAUUUUAAUUUCUUCCUUUUUUUUUUUUGAAUUCUUAAAUUUAAAUAAGUGUGACAACUUUUAAAACCCAAAUAAAAAUUGUCUUCCAAAAUUUUAAUAUUCAAAUAAUCAAUCAAAAUAUUGAAGUACCAAAUAUGCAUGUUGAUUCGAAUGUUGUAAUAUAUUCAUAAUAAAAAUGUAAUUUUUUUAAUCAAAUUUCUUAUAAAGCCAAUGGUACAUAUUAUGUGUAAUCAAUUCAUUGUUCUUAAUUAUUUUGAGUUUUUAAAAAAAUCACUUUUCCACUGUUGUUGCGGGUAAAAUUGAUCGAUUAUAUUUCAAAGAAGUACGAUAGGUAACAAUUUUAGAAAUAGAAUUAAUAAUUAAGUGUAUUUCAAUAUAUUAUAUCUUGAAAAAUCUUAUAGCUAAUGACUCGUAAUAGACUUGAUGACAUAAGAAAAUUGUAAAUAUUACAAUUACAUUCAAAGUAUAUUGACGUAUAUCAAAAUGUUUAGUAUAAAUUGCAAAUAUACUAAAGUUUUCCGAAGUCUAUCAGUUAUAGACUCAAUAGACUAAACCAUAUUACAAAUAUCGAUAUAUUUUUAAUAGACUAUAAAAGAAUCUAUUAGCGAUAAAAAAAUUAUCGAUAGACUUUAUUGCAUUUUCAAAUUUUUUUAAAAAAUUAUUACUGUACUCUUGAUUAUUAUCCAUAAAAUUGCUAUCCAUUAAAUUACAAUUAAGACAUGGAUCUAAAUAUUUAUUAUAUGUACAUUUUUUUUUCAUUAUACUAUAUCUACUAAUACUUUUGAAUAUGAUUGUUAUAGAUUUUAACUGCAUGUUUCUAUAUCUGCUAAGACUCUAAACUUGAUAGAAGGAUAAUUUUAUUUAGAUGAUUUUGAGUUAGGCUUUAGUUAUACUUGCAUAAAAAAUAGUUAUGGAUUCAUAAUCGAUGACCUAAUCAUAAAUUAUACAAGUUUAAGAUUUUUUUAGUACAAUAGUAUGACAGAAUAGUACAUGUCAAUUACUACUUAAUUAAUUAUAUAUGCUCCAUUUGGUUUAAAGUUUAAAUUUAAAUUAAUAAAAUGACUUUUAUGAUUUAUUACAUAUAGACACACAAGUACACACAACUUCAGACUAAAGAAAUAUAAAUUGAAUUUUCGUUCAUUAGAAACGUUGUUGUACUUUUUUAAAAGCAAAAUUCAUAAAAAAAAGAAAAAAGACUCGCCAUCCUCAAAAUCCUCAACAAGAAUAUAGAACAACUCAACGUUCCAAUAAAACCUUAUGCAUUUCUUAAACGAAAGAAGAAAGAGUAAUAAAAAUGACACAUCAUAAACAACAUGUGCAAACAAAUAAUGAACCACAAAAUUACAAGCACUACAAGAAAAGUGACCUUCUAUGAUACUUCAUUACAAGAAAAAUUGAGAGGAGAGAAGAAACAAUUGUCAUAAUAUGUCAAAAUGCGCUUUUUUGGCGAGAAAAAACGUUUUUGGAAAUUAUUUUUCGUGACAUUUAUUUGUUGUCAUAAAAGGGUUUAGGAUUUAUUAAAAUAAAAAAAUCCCCAAAUUUAUUAAAAUAAUUGAUUAAAAUAGAAAAUCCCUAAUUUCUCAACCCCUCCCAUUUGUGCCUGUUGCCAUUCGUAAAUACCUCAUUCGUCUUCUUCUCCGUCCGACGACCAUUCGACGUCUAGUGACCGUUCGACUUCUGCCCAGGUUCGAGUUCGGCCGAUGUUCAAUUUUUUCCCAGGUACGACUUUCCCCCAAUUCGUCUUCCGCCCACGGUCUAACUUUCACCGAUCGUUCGUCUUUCGCCCACGGUUCGACGUCGGCCCACUAUUCCACCUCUGCCCACGCUUCAACGUCUGCCCAAUCUUCUGGCAGCAGUUCGUCAUUGGAGUUCGCCGCCGGUGAGUUCUCAACCCUUCCCACUCCACCUCAUAAAUCUGGAAUGUUUUCUUAUAAGUGAGGCACUCUUAACAUGAUAAGAAGCUUCUUAUAACUUAAGUGACAACCAGAAAAAUAUUUUGUGACAUAAACAAAGAAUUACUUGUCAUAAACUUUUAAAAUCAAGUCAUUCAACGUUAGUAUAUUUAGAAAUGGUCACUGAUCAUGUCAAAGUGUGUAGCUUGUAUACAAUAUUUGACCAUUGAGAUGCAAAAAGACAUUAUGAUUGCUUAACAUUGAUAGGUUGAAAUAACCAUCCUUAUGAUGAGAGAAAGGGGAGUUGGUAUUUAGGUAUAUUUGCUUCUUUACUAUAAAUUGUCAAUGUCCUUUAAUUGUUGGUGCAUUUAUUUUUCGUCCUACCUUUUCUUUUUAAGUACAAUUGAUUUCACAUCUUUGGUUCCUCCCUCCCUAUGCACAGUCCCACAUGAUUAAAAUCCCACAAACCACCGAGUGGAGGAUAAAUUUUGUUCGAAUGACUUUACUAACUUACCUUGCUCUAAACAACCAAGCACGGGUCUCAUUAUCUCUAUCAUUUAUUAUAUUUACGAAUUUGGUCAGAAGAUUUAAGCGUCCAAUAUCAUUUUUAUGUAAGUUGUAGGCCAUUUUUCUACUAGUGAGAAUAGUUUAUAUAUGGGGUGUUUUGGUUAAGAAUAGGAUUAUCAUUUUUACAAUUGGCUUAAAUGAAAAUAAUUCUAAGUACAAUCAUUGUGUCCUUAUUCAAAUUAAAUUUAGUUUAGAAUAUAUACAAUUUACAUUAAUUUGAUAUGUUGCUUAUUAGAAAAACGUCACAUAUAUGAUGUAAAAGGAAAUAGUAUGUGUUAUAUUGGUUUAGUUUUUGAAUAGGUUUGAUUUUUUAUUGCUAUAUAAAUAGGAAAACUUUCAUAAAUGUAACAAAACAUCAAAUUAUUUACAGCCCGUGUAACAAAACCAAUAAAAUUAGCCAUUUUUUAAAUAUUCCAGGUUUGCCCUUCCAUCUUUCUUCUCUUCGUCCUCACGAUUUCUUUCAUCGUCUUUCUCCUGUGAUUUCUUUCAUCGUCUUUCUCCUGUGAUUUCUUUCAUCGUUUUUUUUCUUUUUCUUCUUUUUUUCUGCUACGAUUUCUUUCCAUUGUCUUUCUUCUUUUCCUUUUUUUUUUCUGUUGCGAUUUCUUUCCAUCGUCUUUCUUUAUUUUUUUAUUAUUUAAUCUUUCCAUCGUAUUUUUUUCUUUUCCUUUUUUUUUCGCUGUAAUUUCUUUCCAUUGUCUUUCUUCUUUUCCUUUUUUUUUUACGUCGUUUAAAUUUGGGUAACCAAAUCUAAACGACUGUAUACAAAAAAUAGCAAAAUCUAAAAGAUCAUAUAUAAAGAAUUUUGAAAAAAAAUUAUUUAGAUCGGAGUAGUCAAAUGUAAACGAUAGUGUAAACAAAAAAAAGAUCAUGUAUAAAGAAUCUUGAAAAAAAUCAUUUAGAUUGAAAUAGCAAAAUGUAAAUGAUCGUGUAAAAAAAGUAAACAAUCGUGUAAAAAAAACAAAAGAUUGUGUACAAAGAAUCUUGAAAAAAAUCAUUUAGAUUGAAGUAGCAAAAUGUGAACGAUCAUGUAAAAAAAGUAAACGAUCGUGUAGAAAAAAUAAAAGAUCGUAUAAAGAAUCUUGAAAAAAAUAAUUUAGAUUGGAGUAGCCAAAUGUAAAUGAUCGUGUAAAAAAGGUAAAUGAUCGUGUAAAAAGUAUAAAUUAUCGUUUAGAGAAAUCUAAACGAUUGUGUACAAAAGAAUUAAAAAAAUCGUAUACCAAAUUUUGAGAAAAAAAUGUUUAGAUUUGGGUCUUCAAAUCUAAAUGAUCAAAUCUACACGAUCAUGUAACCAAAUUUAAACUUAGCCAAAUUAAACGAUCGUGUAACAAAAUUAAACGAUAGAAUUGAAAAGAUAAAUUGUAGCCAUAUCUAAACGAUCGCGUACCAAACAAUAACCAAAUCUAAACGAUCACAAAUAUAUUACGCACGUGUUGUUGACGACGUGGUUGACGGGGCAUUUUUGGUAUUUUACACGGUGGGCCUCUGGGCUUUUUCCAUUUUCAAAAUGGGUAAUUAUAAUGGGUAGCAAUUUUUAGAAUAAUUAUUAAGUAUGUAGCAAUAUUUUUAAAAAAUUGCAAAUUUAGCAAAGUCUAUCGGUGAUAGAUUUCUAUCAUUGAUAGACUCUUAUGGUUUAUCAGUGAUAGACCAACAUCUGCUACAUGGUCUAUUAGUGAUAUACUCUUGUCAUUGAUAGAUUUUGACAGAUUUUGCUAUAUUUGCAAUUUCUUUUAAAUGUUGCUAUAUACUUUAUUAUUUUGAAUAAAAUUGUUAUAUUUGCAACUAUCCUUUUCAAAAUUGGUCUAUACAGUGUAAAUACUUUGCCUCUUUAUUAUAUUUUUGAAAAGACCCCAUAUAAAUAGGUGUUUUGGAGUUAUAUUUCAGUAUACAAUUUAUGUUACAAAACCGAGAAAUAAAUAAUACAAAAAUGUAAAAUAUACAAUUUGCCCUUGUUUUAAAUGUUUCAAUUUGAUCCUUGUUUAAAUAGAAUGGGUAUUACUUUACCACGCUUAUAUUUUCUUUGAAAAGUCACUAAAUUCCUUUUAAUGCAACCUCAUUAUUAAUGCAAUCAUUAUUCGGCGUGUUCUUCUAUUUUGGACUGAGUUUGUUGCUUCUUGGUUGAAGGAAUACUUCAAAGUAAGUGUCACGAUUCCGAUCCUUUUUGAAAUUUGAAUUGCAGCUCCAUAUGAUAAUUGAUUAAAUAUGUAUAAUGAAAUGUAAAGAAAAAGAGUGAAAAAGGAAGGAGAAGCGGAAGCAAUAUAAGUACAACCACAGAACCUUUAGGAAGGGGUUUACGAAUCUUAUGGAGGAGUUGAAAGCAUCAUCAUGAAAUCAAAUUGAUCGAUCCAUAGUUUGGAAAUAAGCUCGAAUGGAUUGUAAGGGACAAAUUUCAUAUGAAGAGACGAAGGAAGUGGUGAAUCUUAUAGAUGAACUCGUAGCCACUCAAAAGACAACUAAUGCUUUCGAUGAAGAGGAUAUUCUAACAAUGGCUUUGGGUGGGAAGGAUUGUUCUGGAAUAGUUCGCGAUGUGGGGAAGUAUCUCACAAAGAAAAAGUACUUCCAUACUGCAACACAACAAAAAACAAAUGAAAAAGAGGAUGAGAAGGCCUCUUCUAAAGAACACGAUCAAAUGGCGAAAAGAAUAAAAGAGUUGGAGGACGAAUUGUUGAAAAUGAAAGAAAAUGAUGAUUGCCUAGGCGAAUUAAAAGAAAAACCAGGUAUAGGUUGUAAAGAAAAAUCAUCCAUGGAAGGGGCUGGAAAUCUAAAUGAAUUUGAAGAUCUAUCAAAUGAUUUAGAAUCACAGAAAGACGUAGAGGAUGUUGUUGAAUUGAAUGAAGAAAUAAAUGUGAACAUAGCGAAGGAUGAUGAGCAGGUGGAAGGUGUGACGUUAGAGAAAAUGAAGGUUGGAACCCCUUGCAAGUUGGCGUUUGAAAUGAAAGAUCAUGUCGUUACAUGGGGACCAUAUUUGAUUUAGAUGUAGAAUGUGAUAAUGUUAAAGUCGCAGUAGAUGUCGUGGUGGAUGGAGAUUGUGCAAUUCCCAUUCCAUCGAAGCAAGGGAUGUACAAAAUGUUCCAGGAAGUUGGUUCACACAUAUUAUGGCCAUGACAUCUUGUCAUUAUUGACAAUAUAAAGAUGGACUAUGGGGAAUUUACUAAGGAUAUGACCACAUUCGCACCCACACCAAUUCAAAAUGCUCCAGUUACACUACGAUUCUUACUACGAAUGGUUAAACAUAUGAGGCCAGCAAUUCAAAUCACCACACCAUAUGACGUAUUUGGGAUCCAAAGAAAAUGUUGCAUAAUGAUUGAGUCGUUGAAGGAUUUCUCUUCUAUGCGACCAAUAGCUAUCGCUUACCUUGAUGCGUACAUAAUGUAUCUAUACACACGUAUGGAAUCAUUGAGAACUUUGAAUCUAUACAAGUUCGUUGACGUUGGGUCGAUUAGUUGUGGGAGUUCUAAAGAAGAGCGUGCCCAAUUGUUGACUAUUUGAUUACUUGGAACAGAUUAUGAUCAACUCUUACUGAUUCCUUACAAUUUUGGGUAUGUCGAUGACCUAAAGUAAAGGAUUCGAAUUGUGCUUGCAGUAGUCUAAGAUGUAGUCUUAUUGUUUCACACAUAUAUUUAGGAAUCAUUGGACUUUGGUUGUAAUAAACUGAUCGAAGGGUGCUACCUUUUGGAUAGACCCUUUGAAAAACCGUAUUGACCCAGAUGUAUCCGAAGUAGCUGAAAUGUAUGUCAUACUUACUUUUACCUUUACUUCCUUUUUUCUUAAUGAGACAGUAGUUUAAGUAGGUCAAACUCCGAUAUUCUUUUGUAGGUCGUUGUUCAACAUAAUGAAGAAGAAAAAACAAAAUUAGAUGGUCGUGAAGGUAUGAGAAUAUCUAUGUUGGUAUGGGUUGUAAAUUAAUCUCUAUUUCUAACAUAGGUCAAGUCAUUUGUAUGUGUAUCCUUAGUGUGUCCUAAGCAAUCGGGAGUAGUAGAAUGUGGUUAUUACGUGAUGUGGUUCAUGAGUGACGUCAUAUUAUCAAAGAGUACUUCUGUCAUAGACAUAUUAAACAUACAGUUAUAAAACUAUCGUGCAUGUAUACUUUUUUAUGAAUGAAAUUCAUUUAGAACCACUUUAUUGUCUACAGAUCAAAGAUUCACCCCGUACUUACACAUAGGAAGACAUUGAUUGUAUAAGGUCUGAGUGGGCUGAGUUUGUAGGGAAGCACAUAGGAUAAGAUAUUUUGUCACACAUUUUGUCACAUAUUUUGUGAUUUAUUUUUUCACAUAUUUUGUCACAUAUUUUUAUGUUCGAGCUGCCAUGGAAAAUACAAUGCUGGAGGAAAAUACAGCUGCUAUAUUCAAUAUCAACGAGGCACUAAAAGUUCUUCUCAGCCUUCUACUACAAAUCCCAGCACUUCAGAAUCCAUUUUCAUUCAAAAUAUCCAGGAGUUCAAUGAUGUUAACAGCAACUACAAAAUAUUUAUUCUAAGUACACAUGCUGGUGGUCUGGGUAUCAACCUUACUACAACAGAUACUUAUUAACUCUAUAGUAGCAAUUAGGUCGUAUUUUGAAGAGGGCUUUUAGUAAGUUGAAGCUUGAGCACCACGUGGUCAUCGAAAAAGGCCAACUCCACCAGGAGCGAACAAAACCCAAUGCUGCAGAUAUUGAUCAGAUUUCAAGGAGUUAAGAAUAACAAUCGGUGAGACCUUAAGCUUGGAGUUAUCUAAGAGUGUUGUGGUGCUUGGAGGAGGGUGAUGUCUCUGUUUCUUAUUAUUACAUAUACUUUGUGUUUUAUGAUUAAGAACGAUGAUCAUAGCUCGUUUUGUAAUAUGAAUGAUAUUUCUUCUUGUUAUAUAUACUUUGUGUUAUAUGCAAUUUGUUAAAAUAUAUUUAGUUCGUUGAUUGAAAGUUUGGGUUGAUUUCAAUUUUUCAAUUGAUGUGUAUUUUAAUAUUGUUGGACAUCAAAACAUGUGAAUGAUAAAAUAUAUGGAUAUUUUAAAAUA
This is a long non-coding RNA of Cucumis melo (muskmelon), 11382 nucleotides long. RefSeq lists it as uncharacterized. The transcript has 12 exons. Lineage: Eukaryota; Viridiplantae; Streptophyta; Magnoliopsida; Cucurbitales; Cucurbitaceae. The record is from RefSeq and is a predicted model, not a curated record.